UUGGUUUAGAAGGAGCUCCCCUCAGUCCAAUACAGGGGGCAGAGAAUGGGAUAGAGCUGCCAUCUCAUGCAUUCGGUUAUCCUUAACGUUUUCUUGCAAAAUGGAAGACAAGAUAUUUGUGAAUGUUGAGUUUAGCCCGAUGCAUGGCAUGGGAGCAACUCCUUCCACUUGCUUUGCUCACCCAUUGGACUGAAGGGAGCUCCUGGUUUCAUCAUC
Molecule: microRNA precursor, 216 nt
Filed under: Corchorus olitorius
Lineage: Eukaryota; Viridiplantae; Streptophyta; Magnoliopsida; Malvales; Malvaceae
Description: MIR159 microRNA precursor family
Rfam family: MIR159 microRNA precursor family
Source: Rfam by way of RNAcentral